UGAGCGGACAGUGGUGGGGGUGCAGUACAAGUUAAAAGAUGAACACCAGGCGAUGUGCUCCUCAGCUGACCGUGAAAACCGGCCAAGUCUCGGCAGAGAGGGCCUCACUGCUCCACGCCUGAAGAAAACCUGGAAAGAAUCAAAAAGAAGCAGAAGAGGGAGCCCGGAUUUACGGCAGACUUCAGUCUAUAGAACUGCUUCGGGAACAUAACCCAAGACGACUGCCACCCCAUGCGACAUGGACACAUUUCACAAGCAACAUGCAGAUGUUCCAGCAGCUUUGAAACACAGGAACACAAUUGCAUCUCUUCACAUGGUUAUAUUUUGUCACUUCGUUCAAGAAAAAUUUCCAGUGUUUCCAGUUAAGCGUUCCCAAAGAAGAAAGAAUAACCUGGGCCCAGACAAGGGGGAAGAGAGAACAGAAACUCCAGCCACUUCAAACUGAAAAUUUUCACUGGUCAAACACAUUUUUUAAAUCAAAUAUAUAAAUUUACGGAUUUUAUGUCAAAGGUAAAGAAUUUGGGUGCAAUUCUAUAAAUGCAGUGAAAAAGUCAGUCAAUAUUAAUUCCGUAAAAACUCAUAAAAGGCUUAUAACUAACAGUGGGAAUUUCGAAGUUAAAUAUUUCUGUUCUGUUGCAAGAAGAGUACAGUAAAAAUCCGACCUCACCCACCCCUCCCCCCUCAAUGGCUCAAGAAGUGCUGCUUCUGCUGUGAGCACCGCUCCCGUUUUAAAUAAAUCAUUUAAAUAUCUGAAUAAAUCACCACUGUCAAGCACGGGCAGCCUGCAUGCCGCAUCUGAAUUCAACCACACCGGCAAGCGCCCUGCGCCAAAUCCCGGCACACAUGUGUGCCGCUGUUGUCCAAACAGGCAGCUGCUGCGAGGCACAGCCUUUUAGCAUGGGAGGGAGUCCAGCCCCCUUCCCCCACACAUAUACCACACACACACACACACACACACACACACACACACACACACACACACACACACACACACAGGUUUGUAAGUAUAUCUUUGUGGGGACUGUCCAUUCAUUUUUAUGGGGGAAUCUCUAAUCCCAACAUGACAACCUUAAACCCCACCCAGCCCUGACCUUAACCAUUAGUAACCAAACUAAAUAUGAGACUUUCAGCUAUUUUAGCUUUUUGAUUGCAUUCACAGAUCUUUGUGGGGACCUGAAAAAUGGUCCCCACAGCAUCAAAAUAAGUUUUUAUCACAUUGUACUUUGUAUGGAACAUUGUGUCUCCACAAUGUAAGAUAAACCUAAUCUACACACACACAAACACACACAAAAUAUUUACAACCCAUGGGAAAUGAGGAAAAAACGUCACAGGCGUGCUGGGUGGGCUAGUCGGAUGGUCUGAUCAUAACAGAGGGACCAAACACAUGAGAACAAACACAUCAGUCUGUCUGUUAUCUAUAUCUACCGUAUUACUGCACAUCUACUCUGUAUGGUACCCUCAUUAAUGCCGCUUUAACACCAAAAGAGGCAGGUUUCAGGCAGGGGCAGGAGAAGGUCCCAGGGCAUUGGGACCCCUUUCCUGAGAGGGUCACUGUGGGGACAAUCAGUCAAAUUGAUGGACAAUGAAUUAAUAUAAAUACUACCAUUAGGGGUGUGAUAUUAGAUCAUGAGCAAUUAAAAAUGUCUCCACGAUCUGCCUUUGCACAGAGUAUCAUUAUAAUCGUUCUAGACUGCUCAUUCUGUCAGUUACAGGUCUACGGCUCAUACACACAUCUUAAGUUGUUUUGUCGGCCAUAUGCGUUUCGACACACCAAUAAACCAGUAAUAGCAAACA
Long non-coding RNA from Brienomyrus brachyistius, 1794 nucleotides. RefSeq lists it as uncharacterized. The record is from RefSeq and is a predicted model, not a curated record. NCBI's taxonomy places the organism in Eukaryota, Metazoa, Chordata, Actinopteri, Osteoglossiformes, Mormyridae. The transcript is spliced from 2 exons.